Long non-coding RNA from Malania oleifera, 647 nucleotides. RefSeq lists it as uncharacterized. The transcript has 2 exons. The record is from RefSeq and is a predicted model, not a curated record. NCBI's taxonomy places the organism in Eukaryota, Viridiplantae, Streptophyta, Magnoliopsida, Santalales, Ximeniaceae.
ACCCUUGGAAGGCUAUUUAAAGGGUAGAAGACCUCAUUUCUUCUCUGUGGAUGGCAUGCCCACUAGGGAAUUCAAGAACAUGAAAUCAAUGGGUGUUCCCUUUCCUAAGAACUAAUGGAGGAGAACAUACUCAAGCCUCUAGGGCCACAAGACGGAACCCAAUCACCCUUCACAGCCUCCUACAGGAAAUGCAAAGCAGAUACAUGUGUUUGGUCAUCCAGAGCAUCUUCAUGUAGUUCAACUUCUUCUUCUUCAACCUCUGGCUCUGCAAAUUCGUGGCUUACGCAAGAGCUGAUUCUACUAGUCAAGAAAGAUUAAAAUGGGUUCGGCAGAAUUGCAUGAUUUACAAUUAUCGCACGGACUCCAAGCGCUUCCCACAAAGCCUCCCUCCAGAGUCCAGAAAGCACCGCCAACAUGUCUUAAUUGAAGAGAAUCCAAUCAGAUAAUCUUUAUUUUUUAUUUUUGCCUUCAAUUUUAAUCGAUUCAUUUAUUCAAUCAGUGAAUCAGUUCUCUUUCUUGCUGCUUAUUCCUUUUGCAAGAAGGUGCUUGUGGGUUGCCUACUCGCCCAGUGCCAUGGGGCGCCACAAAAUAUGAGCAAAACAAAAAUUUCCCAAUUAAAGUAAUUAAGGCAUAUUGUCAUUUUAUUA